This 467-nucleotide ribosomal RNA is filed under the name uncultured bacterium. RNAcentral describes it as "partial 16S ribosomal RNA". It matches the Rfam family "Bacterial small subunit ribosomal RNA", at positions 29 to 507 of the family's 1533-position model. The record is from RNAcentral.
ACGAACGCUGGCGGCGUGCUUAACACAUGCACGUCGAACGGAAAGGCCCUGCUUUUGUGGGGUGCUCGAGUGGCGAACGGGUGAGUAACACGUGAGUGACCUGCCCUUGACUUUGGGAUAACUUCAGGAAACUGGGGCUAAUACCGGAUAGGAGCUCCUGCUGCAUGGUGGGGGUUGGAAAGUUUCGGCGGUUGGGGAUGGACUCGCGGCUUAUCAGCUUGUUGGUGGGGUAGUGGCUUACCAAGGCUUUGACGGGUAGCCGGCCUGAGAGGGUGACCGGCCACAUUGGGACUGAGAUACGGCCCAGACUCCUACGGGAGGCAGCAGUGGGGAAUAUUGCACAAUGGGCGGAAGCCUGAUGCAGCAACGCCGCGUGCGGGAUGACGGCCUUCGGGUUGUAAACCGCUUUCGCCUGUGACGAAGCGUGAGUGACGGUAAUGGGUAAAGAAGCACCGGCUAACUACGUG